Molecule: small RNA, 171 nt
Filed under: Streptomyces sp.
Lineage: Bacteria; Bacillati; Actinomycetota; Actinomycetes; Kitasatosporales; Streptomycetaceae
Description: c-di-AMP sequence
Rfam family: c-di-AMP riboswitch aptamer (ydaO/yuaA leader)
About the family: This family represents a conserved RNA structure found upstream of the ydaO and yuaA genes in Bacillus subtilis and related genes in other bacteria. The ydaO/yuaA element is thought to act as a genetic "off" switch for the ydaO and yuaA genes in its native state.
Source: RNAcentral
GACAGGUCGACACCGAGUGGAUCGGCAGGAGUGGAGGACCCAGGCACGACGGGCCCCAGGAGACCGGCGACGGACUCCACGGCCCUUGGGGUGAAGCCGCUGCGGCGGCCGGGCGACUUCGCAGGUCCGAACCCGACAGGUCAUCCUUCACAGGCGGCUGACGAAGGGUUA